GGUGAACGCUGGCGGUAGGCCUAACACAUGCAAGUCGAACGGCAGCACAGUAAGAGCUUGCUCUUACGGGUGGCGAGUGGCGGACGGGUGAGGAAUACAUCGGAAUCUACUUUUUCGUGGGGGAUAACGUAGGGAAACUUACGCUAAUACAGCAUACGACCUACGGGUGAAAGCAGGGGAUCUUCGGACCUUGCGCGAUUGAAUGAGCCGAUGUCGGAUUAGCUAGUUGGCGGGGUAAAGGCCCACCAAGGCGACGAUCCGUAGCUGGUCUGAGAGGAUGAUCAGCCACACUGGAACUGAGACACGGUCCAGACUCCUACGGGAGGCAGCAGUGGGGAAUAUUGGACAAUGGGCGCAAGCCUGAUCCAGCCAUACCGCGUGGGUGAAGAAGGCCUUCGGGUUGUAAAGCCCUUUUGUUGGGAAAGAAAAGCAGCAGGUUAAUACCCCGCUGUUCUGACGGUACCCAAAGAAUAAGCACCGGCUAACUUCGUG
RNAcentral lists this ribosomal RNA (492 nucleotides) under uncultured bacterium. RNAcentral describes it as "partial 16S ribosomal RNA". It matches the Rfam family "Bacterial small subunit ribosomal RNA", at positions 28 to 507 of the family's 1533-position model. The record is from RNAcentral.